CCUACGGGAGGCAGCAGUGAGGAAUAUUGGUCAAUGGUCGGGAGACUGAACCAGCCAAGCCGCGUGAGGGAGGAAGGUACAGAGUAUCGUAAACCUCUUUUGUCAGGGAACAAAGACUGGUACCCGUCCCCGGAUGCGUGUACCUGAAGAAAAAGCAUCGGCUAACUCCGUGCCAGCAGCCGCGGUAAUACGGAGGAUGCGAGCGUUAUCCGGAUUUAUGGGGUUUAAAGGGUGCGCAGGGGGACUGUUAAGUCAGCGGUCAAGCCCCGGGGCCCAACCCCGGCCCGCCGUUGACACUGGCAGGCUCGAGUUGGAGAGAAGCAGGCGGAAUGCGCGGUGUAGCGGUGAAAUGCAUAGAUAUCGCGCAGAACUCCGAUUGCGAAGGCAGCAUGCCGGCUCCACACUGACGCUGAGGCACGAAAGCGUGGGUAUCGAACAGGAUUAGAUACCCGAGUAGUC
Molecule: ribosomal RNA, 459 nt
Filed under: uncultured bacterium
Lineage: Bacteria
Description: partial 16S ribosomal RNA
Rfam family: Bacterial small subunit ribosomal RNA
Source: RNAcentral